UGGGGAAUAUUGCACAAUGGGGGGAAACCCUGAUGCAGCGACGCCGCGUGAAGGAAGAAGUAUCUCGGUAUGUAAACUUCUAUCAGCAGGGAAGAUAGUGACGGUACCUGACUAAGAAGCCCGGGCUAACUACGUGCC
This 138-nucleotide ribosomal RNA is filed under the name uncultured bacterium. RNAcentral's name for it is "partial 16S ribosomal RNA". It matches the Rfam family "Bacterial small subunit ribosomal RNA", at positions 355 to 509 of the family's 1533-position model. The record is from RNAcentral.